Molecule: non-coding RNA, 27 nt
Filed under: Bombyx mori (domestic silkworm)
Lineage: Eukaryota; Metazoa; Arthropoda; Insecta; Lepidoptera; Bombycidae
Source: RNAcentral
UGUCUUAUUGUUAUAAAAAUGGCUAUC